RNAcentral lists this long non-coding RNA (4370 nucleotides) under Homo sapiens (human). RNAcentral's name for it is "HSALNT0313958". The record is from RNAcentral. Lineage: Eukaryota; Metazoa; Chordata; Mammalia; Primates; Hominidae.
CAUUCACUGAGUACUUGUUGUGGACCUGGUUCUGUUCUAUGAAUUAUAACACAUGGAGAAGGGGAGUGAGGAAAGACGAUAUUGGCUCUUCCUUCAAGUAACACAUGUUAUCAGGUGUUGGCAAUAAAAAUGUUGUAUCUGUAUGACAGGUUCAUAACCCUGAAGUCGAGGACACCCCACAUGCUCACCAAAUGAGACUAAAGCAAAACACCUGCUUACCUAACCCCUUUUCUAGUAGAGACCACUGAUGAGGAGUUCUCAUGUCAGCAUUCUAAGAGCUGCAUUUAAGAGUAACCAUGGGACCUCCUUUUAUCUCUCAUUCUAUUUCUGUUGUCAUGGUGUUUCAAAGCAAAUACCUGAAAUGAGUAAAUUUUAAUUCUGAAACAGUUAUGCAGUUUUCCCAAAGUUGUAAUUUAACAGGCAUAAUCAAGGCACUAUAUCAUAGUAAAUGAUGGUUUAUCUGGUGCUCAUCACCUAGAAAUAUUAUUACUAGCGGGUGCUUCUGUGCUUCAAUGGUACAAUGAUAAUUGAUGUUCACAAUGAUUACCCCGAGGCAGUGCAAGUUCCUAAAGUGCUUUGUGGAUCAUACAAAAAAAGAAAAGAAAAAAAGGAAAAGAAAAAAACAGAAAAGCUUCCUUUGUCAUUUUUUGCAUUACAGUUGAACAUAAUACAAUUCUUUGAAUAUUAGUCACCAGUAAUAAAAUAUGUGCUAACAUCACUGAUCAGAGCAUUUCAAUUCCCCAUUAUACACCAUUAUGCCAAAAAAAGGAAUUCUGUACAGGCAUAUAUUCCGUAUCUUUUAUUUCCUUCCAGAAAAGCUCAAGCUAAUUUUACAUAACUGAGUGUCUGCCCAUGAAGAACUCUGAGGGGAAACUGCUUGUGUUAGUUUGUUAUUGCUAUGCAAACUCAGUGGCUUAAAAUAAUAUAAGUUUAUUAUCUUAGAGUCCUGGAGGUGAGAAGUCCAAAAUGGGUCUCACUGGGCUACAGUCCAAAUGUCAGCAGAGCUGAGCUCCUUCUGGUGGUUUGAGGGGGAGAAUCUGUUUCCUUGUCUUUUCCAGUUUCUGGAAGCUGCCUGCAGUCCUUGGCUGUGGCCGCCUUCUCCAUCUUCACACCAGCAGUGUAGUAUCUUCAAGUCUCUCUCUCUAACUACAACCCUCACUUCCAUCUUCACAUUCCCUUGGCACUCUGACCUUCCUGCUUCUCUCUGAUAAAGAUCUUUGUGAUUACAUUGGGCCUAUCCAAAUAAUCUAAACUAAUUUGUUCAUCUUUAGAUUUUAACUUAAUUACAUCUGCAAAGUCCCUUUUGCCAUGUAAGGUAGCAUAUUCACAGGUUUCAGAGGUUCAAAUAUAGACAUCUUUGGGGGGUCAUUAUUCUGUCUAUCACCCUCCUCUUAACGAACUUUUCAUCACAAUGUUAUCCUUUUCUUUCUUUUCUCUUUGACUUUAACUUUUGAAACAAUAUCAUCUUUCUAUAGAUGAUGAGUUAGAGUGAUCCUGAAAUCAAAAUUAUAGAAUUCCAUAAGGUCAUGGGAAUCAAGCUCACACAGAAGCUCUGCUAAUAUUUGUCAGAUUCUCACCUUGCCCUGGUCCAAACCAGCAGGAGACAGGCUCCCCUGGCAAUUGCCCACUCCACUGUGUGUGGCUUACUAACACUUAUGCCCUAGAGAGGGCAGUUGCUUAGUCUUCUGUUUCCUAGAGCUUGCAUUUAAAGAUGAGAAGAACUUGAAGUUAGAGCAUAAAAGGAAAAAAAAAGAUGAAGAAUAUUUUCUUGGUGCCAGACACUGGAGAACACACGGGGAUAUUAGGAAGGAGAAAUGCAAAGGCAGAAAGCCAGGCUGAAAGAAGCUUUGGAUGCCAUCUGACAGGCCUUUUGAAUGCGCAGUUUUGGUUGUCUUCCCAGCUGCACCACAUACCCCUACAUCCCUCUGUACAUUGCUGGAGGAGCAGGAAAGCAUCCCUUGGAAAAAAAAAUCCCAGUGCACUCAGAGAAUAAGGGGAAGUCAUGAUUAAGGUUAUGAGAGAGAUACUAGCCAAGGGGUAGUGGAGGUUACAGCUGUGUGGACAAAAUGUCCAGACAGGAAGAAAGUACAUGCAAAUGGAACCAAAAUGGGCUUCUGUUUCUCAGCUGUAGACAAAUGUCCUCUCUGCUAACCUUUUGCCCUCAGCUUACUUUGGCUGCUUGCCUCUGAAUUAUGUUAAAUGUUUCUCUUUUAUCUCAUAUUUGGGUUUUCAUAAGCCCUGAUAUUUGCACAACCAUUAGGGUUUAAAUAGGAUACCUGACACAUCUAUUAUGAGCAAUGUUUGAAGGAACAAAAUCCAUCAUUUCAAGACUGGUUAAGAAGAAGUGCUAUAACUAAAGUGCUAGGGUGAAGGAAAGAUGCAAACAUGUUAUUGUUAACUGUGAUAGUAUUUUUUUAAUAUUUUACUUCAGAAAUUUUAAUGGAGGAACAAUAUAGCCACUACCUUUAUCAAGAGCUUAGCAGGGCAGUUUUCUGGCAUUAUAGAGAAGACAACCAGGGUUGGCUCUACUGAUAGGCCAUUCAGACUUUGGGGUGAGGAGCUAGCAAUAGGGUGGCAGUACUGGUUCCAGUUGGUCCUUUGGUUAUGGCUGCAUAUUCAGAGUUUAAGAGAGGAUUUACCUCUAAGAUAAAGCUAUUAUAAAAGAUGAUGAGAAAAGUAGCUACUGUCAUUCAGACUGCAUCUCUUUGUACACUAGGCAACAUUUUUCCUCCAACAUUUAGUAGCAGCAUCUGAUGUAGCAGGUACAGCAUUAGAUGCUGUUCUUUCCAGUGAUAAGUAUUCAAUGACAAAGUAUUAUAACCCCACCCCCACUCCCCACCAAUAUUUUUUUUUUUCUCUUUUCAUGGUAGAAAUGCAUUUGAAGGGAAAGGAGGUGGGGAUGAACUUUAGUGUUACCAGAUUGGUAGGAACGUGGGGAAAGGUCCCUAACUGCUAUACUUCGAAUACUAAGGACAGCAGCUUUCUCCACCUGUAGUCCAGGGCUUUUCAAAAUUUAAUGAGCACCUGGGGAUCUUGAGGAAAUGCAGAUUUUCAUCCAGUGGGUCAGGGAUGGGACCCAAUAUUCUGCAUUUCCUUGUCUCUUCUACCACUUCUUCCAGGAGCAAUAUUCUGUAUUUCCACAGUGAUGCCAAUUCUGAUAGUCAGAGUCCAACCUUGUAGCCAAGGAAAAACCUUAUUUCUCAAAACUAUUAUUAUUUUCAUUCUCUGAACCACCUCUCAAUCUCUAGGCUGAAACAGAAAAAUUGAAAAUAUAAAACAUUGUAAUAAUAUUCGACAAUUUUUAUUUCCUUCCCUGAACAUCUCUUGGAACUUUUCCUCUGGCCCCUUUGCUUCUGACAACCCUGGGAUAAUAUAUGAUACGUAUUCUAUUUUUAAAUGUAUUUUAAACAUAGACUACUUGGAAUGGUGGCAAAAAGUAUUUGAAGGAGUGAGAUGUUGAGAGAUGUGGACUCUGUAUUUCUGUUUUACUAGGCCACGUACAAAGUUUCUGAUUAAGUUAUUGCCUCUCCCCACCCAAGGUUCCACCAUGUCUUGGAGCAUUGAUGUCCAAACUAGUUCCCCAAGAACACAUCUAGGCUGAUUCACUUCUCUUCAGGCAGAGUGCUCUGGGAAUCUGAUGACACGUGUGUAGGGUAGGAGUGGGGUUGUAGGGUGAUGCUAGGGCAUUUGUCCAACACUUGCAAGAAUAGCCAGCACGUUAGGUUGUGCAGAUCUUCUCAAUGACUUAAAGGCUGACCAUGUCAGUUACUGUGAGCAUCUCCAGGAUUUUUAAAGUUUGGGUUGUGGAGGCCAGUAAUCAUGUGGUUAAAUUUUGUAGUCAUUUUCUAAAUGAUCCAUUUGUUUCAAUAAUAAAGUUACUAAAAAAGAAUUUGUAUUUACUUGAUUAGGCCAUUAUGGAGCCAUCUGUAUUGGGAAAAUAUGUUUCAAAUCUAAAUUUAAGAUAUUUUAUACACACAAACAGCUGUCUAUAUACCUGCUACUGAUAUACUGAGACUAUACUGGGAAAGUAUAUAACUUUCUCUGUGAGUGUAUGUGUGUAUAAUGCAGUAGAUACACUGUUAUUUACUACAGUAUAUAUAGUAGUUUAUACAUUGGCAUAUAUAAUAUCAAUAUACAAGUCCUAUUCAUCCUUGAGGUUUCAGCGUAAUACUUCUCAGCCUAAAGGGUUAAAUCCUCAGUGUGCCUUUUGAGUUUUUCAGUGAUAGAAAACUACGGAGGUUGUGUAAACCUUUGCAGAAAUGAAACGCAUAGAAACUCUUUCUGUGACCCUGAGCAAUCCUGACAACACAUGAUGCACAUUUGAGAAAGGGACUUCCUCAUGAAUACACCCAAGUUUCAACAAACUCAGG